This 3128-nucleotide ribosomal RNA is filed under the name Triticum aestivum (bread wheat). Its description in RNAcentral is "partial small subunit ribosomal RNA". Lineage: Eukaryota; Viridiplantae; Streptophyta; Magnoliopsida; Poales; Poaceae. The record is from RNAcentral.
CCAACUACAAGUCCACAUCGGCACAUCUUAGCUGAAGCCUGUUUGUGGCUGUGAGUCUCGAAUAGAUCACCUUCUUGGCUUCCACUACAGAAACUAGACCGCAAUAAGUUGAGAAAACGGUGCCCCACUACAGAAACUAGACCACAAUAAGAUGAGAAAACGGUGCCCCAGUAUUGUCCUACAAGAGAAAAUUAGAGUGUACCACGGUACCAGAGAACCACGGGCAAGUGUUUGCUAGUGGUUCUUCCCCUCGGUUUCCUGAGAAACUAUUGAUAAAUAGGCGUUGGAGCCUACCGUUUGUUUCCGAAGACCAAUGGAGAAGGAGUUGCUUCCCUUUCCUCUCCUGCCAUGGCUCCUCCUCACAUGCUUCUCUCCAUUCUUUGUUCAUUCUAUGGAAUUGAGUACCUCUGCAUGCUCAAGUUCCAACAUCUCUAUCCCUUAUCCUUUUGGUGUCCAUGGCCAGAGCCCCUCCCCAGCUCAAGGGUUCGAGAUCAAUUGUACUUCAUCUGGCCCUAGGCUUCCCAUAGGCAACAACUCAAUUAGUAUUCUCAACAUCUCCCUGCUGGAUGGUUAUGUGACCAUCCUGGCUAGUGCCGCUUCCCGUUCCCCGCAGUGCAGAGGGAACUUUGCUAGCUUCAGCCUUGAGGGGACAAACUUCACCUUCUCCGAUACAAGGAACAAGUUCACCGCUGUCGGCUGUAAUAUGGUGGCCAUGCUGGUGAAUGGUACCAGUGGUGGUUACAGCGGUGGCUGCGCUUCUUUUUGCUCUAAUAAUAGCAUCGUCGAUGGUGCUUGCUCUGGUGUGGCUUGCUGCCAAGCACCGGUGCCAAAGGGGUUGAAGAAGCUGUAUUCAGAUUUCACAAACAUAAACAUAACUGCCAGCCUCAGCAAGUAUACUUCAGCAUGUGCUGAGGCGUUCAUCGUGGAGCAGAACUCCUAUGCUUUCGCUACUGCUGACCUGAAGAUCCUGAACAACUCAAAUAAAAGCCCUCCUCAAUACCGGCAUGUUGUUCUUGAGUGGUCCAUAGAUGGUGGCAGCUGUGAGGAGGCAAGCCGCUCUGCAUCAUAUGCUUGCAAGGAGAAUUCUUACUGCUAUAACUCGUCUAAUGGGAUUGGAUAUCGCUGCAAUUGUACCAACGGGUUUCAGGGGAACCCAUACCUGCAAGGGCCUGGUGGAUGCCAAGGUAACGAACACGUAUGUGCUUAUAUUUUCUGACUUUAUUUGUUUCCUCAGUUUUUGUUUUCCAGCUUAAUAAUCGGCAAGAACUACCCAUAUCUGAUAUCUGUUUGGUUCCAUGUGACUGUCGGCAAGAUAUCGAUGAGUGCUUCCUUGGAAAUCCAUGCACACAUAGCUGCAUCAACGUGAAGGGCGGUUUCAACUGUACUUGCCCAUCAGGGAUGAGUGGUAAUGGCCGAAAGGAUGGAAGUGGCUGCAAUGGAAUUGGCACGCUGCAGAUUUCAAUAGUUGUGGGACUAGCUCUGCUACUGCUUCUCCUUGUUUUCAGUUUCUGGACUCACUGUCUUGUUAAGAGGAGAAAGCUUGCGAAGAAAAGACAGAGAUAUUUUAUGCAGAAUGGUGGUGUCUUACUGAAGCAGCAGAUGCUUUCUCGGAAGGCACCGCUGCGGAUAUUUACCUCAGGUGAGCUUGACAAGGCAACCAACAAAUUCAGCGAUAACAAUGUUGUUGGCAGAGGUGGAUUCGGGACAGUCUACAAAGGUAUAUUAUCAGAUCAAACGGUUGUAGCAGUCAAAAGGUCGCAGCGGGUUGAUCAGAGCCAGGUGGAGCAAUUCGUGAAUGAGCUGGUCAUUCUUUCACAAGUGACCCACAAGAAUGUGGUUCAGCUACUAGGCUGCUGUCUCGAGGCAGAAGUUCCCUUAUUGGUCUAUGAAUUUAUCACCAACGGGGCCCUUUUUCAUCAUCUUCACAAUACAUCAAUCCCGAUGUCGUGGGAGGACCGCCUGAGGAUUGCAGUUGAAACUGCAUCGGCACUUGCAUAUUUGCACCUAGCUGCAAAGACGCCAAUCGUCCACAGAGACGUCAAGUCAUCGAACAUACUUCUUGACACAAGCUUCACCGCAAAGGUGUCCGAUUUCGGCGCGUCAAGGCCGAUACCCCGCGAUCAGACCCAUGUGACGACCUUGGUGCAGGGCACACUAGGGUACAUGGACCCUGAGUACUUCCAGACAAGCCAGCUGACCGAGAAAAGCGACGUCUACAGCUUCGGUGUGGUGCUCAUCGAGCUACUGACAAGGGAGAAACCAAUAUGUGGCGGACAGAUGGACGAGGUGAGAAGCCUAGCGAUGCAUUUUAGCACGAUGUUCCAUCAGAACCAGUUGCUGAAGAUUGUAGACUCUCAAGUGGCCGAGGAAGCUGGAAUGCGGCAUGUCAAAACGGUCUCGCAGCUGGCUUUGCGAUGCUUGAGGCUGAGAGGUGAAGAGAGGCCGAGGAUGAUUGAGGUUGCGGUUGAACUUGAAGCGCUGAGAAGACUGAUGAAACAACACUCUGUUCUGAAGAGUGAAGAAGAAGAGCCUCUACUUCCUCUGCUUCGAGACUUGAGCUGCCGCGGGGAGAUGAAUUUCGAUGCGCAGUUGAGUUCGAGCCAUGAUGGAAUUGCCAAGGAUGAAAGUAUGGAGAUCAUUCUACUCCCGUCCGGCGACCUCUCAUGUUAGGUCUUUCAUAGUAAUGAUCUGUUCAAUUGUGUUUAGCUGCUAGUCGUAGAAACUCAUAGUAGGGUUAUACCAGGGAACUGUUGGCUAGUUUUUUUCUUUCUCCAUAUCUAUCUAGUACACCCCUAUUUUCGACCUGUUUGUAGGUCAAGAAAUGACUCAGCUAAAUUUACACCACUGGGAUUUCAUUUUCACCGAAACUUGAGAUACGAAUCAUUCUGAAGUCUUGCGUUCCUUGUAAAAUUUCUGUGUGACAUACAGAGUUUUUCAUUUGCAGAGGGGUAAGUUCCCAUGAAUUAGGCGUGACAAAUGUGUGAGAAGACGGCACCUGUCCUGUAUGCAUCCAAAAAUGAACCAAAUUCGUCCUGGAUGAACAUACAUUUUCAUUUUGACGGGCGGUUGGUACUUGGCGCUAUCAUGGCAGACCGAGGCGGCGACGACGGAGAGAAGACGGCACGCGC